Chinchilla lanigera (long-tailed chinchilla) is the source of this 1578-nucleotide long non-coding RNA. NCBI's taxonomy places the organism in Eukaryota, Metazoa, Chordata, Mammalia, Rodentia, Chinchillidae. The record is from Ensembl.
GUGAACAUUACGUGAUCUACAAAAAUAUAUGUAUUUAUCUAAAAAAUAAUUCACUUUUAUCACCCUACUAUGAUAUAUUACUUUUAACUUCCAUCUCCUGUCUACACAUUUUUAUAAUAAGGCUUUCUUUCUUUGAAUUGCUGUUUAAAAGAUUAGAAAAUUUUUAUAUUUGUUAUCUACAUACCUCAGCAUCCAUGGAGCACUGGUUCUAAGAUCCCUGAAGAUACUAAAUCCAUAGACACUCAAAUCUCUUCUAUGUAUAAAGUGCCACAGUAUUUGAAUAUGAUUUACACACACUUGUCCAUAUGCUUUGAGUCACUUCUAGGUUGUUUAUUGUGAUGUCAGCUUGCAUAAGAAACACUCAACUGAUUGGCUUAGCAUACUCCUGGGCGUGUCUGAUGAAGGAUUUACUGAAGUGGGAAGGAAGCUCCACCCUGGGUGUGGGUGGCACCAACCAGUAGGAUUGUAGCCUGGGUGGAAUAAAAAGGGAAAGAGAAAGCAGAUCUUGCUUCUGCUUCUUCAGAGAGCUCCAGGCUUCGCCAGUGGCUUUGGACUUUCAUCUUCAGCCUUCCGACCAAACUCAGGUUUUUCAGCACAGACCCUUUAGCUUCCUAAUACGGACAUUCAUGGGACUUUGCAAUGAGCUAGAGACCUUUGGGUUGUGACUGAAUUCUUUGGGUCUCCUUCACACAGAUGGCCCUUUUACAUUCCUCCACACCUAACUCAGCAUGAGGCCAUUAUAAACCUACUUUGUAAAUAUAUAUAUAUAUAUAUAUAUAUAUAUAUAUGUGCAUGUAUGUGUGUGUGUAUUUUAUAUUAAAUCUGAUCCUCUAGCUAUACCUUAUUGAUUAGAGAAUAAUUAUAAGGAAAAGAAAUCUUGAUAUGUUCAGUAAUGAUGCACUUUUUUACUUUUGAAUAUUUUCUAUCUGUAGUUGGCGAAUCUGUGGAUGUGGAACCCAUGGAUACAGAGCACUGACUGUGAAAUUCAGUUCUCCAAUAAGAAUUCAAGGAAAGCAGAAGUAUCAAACUGGACCACUUCCCCUGCUGACCUAGCUGACCCAGAAGAUCAGGCUUUGUGCCUUUGCCUGACUCGUGAGUGUCUGUGUCUUCAUCUACUGAAGAGUAGAAGGGAAAGCAAAGGAGAGUGACCAGGAGCACAUUGUAAGCCUAAGCACCCGGAGCUGCGCACCUCUGGAUAGUGACUACAUAUACUGACAGUGCCUCUCUGGAUGUGUCUUCUAUUGUGAAACCUGGAGCUCUGAAUUCUCACCAUCCUUAAGGGUUUAUUUAUGUUUAUUUUGUUGCAAUUCAUCAUUUUGGGGUUGGGGGAAUGUUGCUGGGAAUCGAACUCAGGGCCUCAUGCUUGCCAGGCAGGCUCUGUGCUGCUGAGCUACAUCCUCGGCCCUGUUGCAAGUCAUCUUAAAGAUGAAAGCUGAAAGGUAGGCGGUUGAGCUUCUCUUUCAACAUCUGGUGUUUACUACAGCUCUGUAAAGUAAAUUUUUUCCCUCAUUUUUGAAUUCAGUGCAUUUCUUUCCCUGAGAACAAAAGUGUUAUUGAUGUUACAAUAAAAUGAAAUUG